CCUACGGGUGGCAGCAGUGGGGGAUAUUGCACAAUGGGGGGUACCCUGAUGCAGCGACGCCGCGUGGGUGAAGGAGUGCUUCGGCAUGUAAAGCUCUGUCGGCAGGGAAGAAGCAAGACGGUACCUGACUACGAUGCCCCGGCUAACUACGUGCCAGCAGCCGCGGUAAUACGUAGGGGGCGAGCGUUAUCCGGAUGCACGGGGUGUAAAGGGAGCGUAGACGGCCAAGCAAGUCAGGGGUGAAAGCCCGGGGCACAACCCGGGUACUGCCCUUGGAACUGGAUGGCUGGAGUGUGGGAGAGGCAGGCGGAAUUCCUGGUGUAGCGGUGAAAUGCGUAGAUAUCAGGAGGAACACCGGCGGCGAAGGCGGCCUGCUGGACCGUGACUGACGUUGAGGCUCGAAAGCGUGGGGAGCGAACAGGAUUAGAUACCCGAGUAGUC
This 441-nucleotide ribosomal RNA is filed under the name uncultured bacterium. Its description in RNAcentral is "partial 16S ribosomal RNA". It matches the Rfam family "Bacterial small subunit ribosomal RNA", at positions 338 to 795 of the family's 1533-position model. The record is from RNAcentral.